GAUGAACGCUGGCGGCGUGCCUAAUACAUGCAAGUCGAGCGAACAGACGAGGAGCUUGUUCCUUUGACGUUAGCGGCGGACGGGUGAGUAACACGUGGAUAACCCACCUAUAAGUCUGGGAUAAUUUCGGGAAACCGGAGCUAACACCGGAUAAUAUACUGAACCGUAUGGUUCAAUAGUGAAAGACGGCUUUGCUGUCACUUAUAGAUGCAUCUGCGCCGCUUUAGCUAGUUGGUAAGGUAACGGCUUACCAAGGCGACGAGGCGUAGCCGACCUGAGAGGGUGAUCGGCCACCCUAGAGCGGAGACACGGACCAUACUCCUACGAGACGCAGCAGUCUGGAACCUUCCGCAGUAGGCGAAAACCUGGCAGAGCAGCGCCGCGUGAGUGGUGACGAUCUUCGGAUCGUGAAGCUCUGUUAUUAGGGGAGAACAACUGUGUAAGUAACUGUGCACGUCUUGACGGUACCUAGUCAGAAAGCCACGGCUAACUACGUG
This 497-nucleotide ribosomal RNA is filed under the name uncultured bacterium. RNAcentral's name for it is "partial 16S ribosomal RNA". It matches the Rfam family "Bacterial small subunit ribosomal RNA", at positions 28 to 507 of the family's 1533-position model. The record is from RNAcentral.